This is a non-coding RNA of Ictidomys tridecemlineatus (thirteen-lined ground squirrel), 1111 nucleotides long. The record is from RefSeq and is a predicted model, not a curated record. NCBI's taxonomy places the organism in Eukaryota, Metazoa, Chordata, Mammalia, Rodentia, Sciuridae.
CAGUAAAACCAUGGGACAUCAGAGGAAGGUAACAAAGUGGUAGACAGGUGUCAGCUGAGGUGGAGAUGGGAGGGUGUCCAUGGCCAAAGCCAUCAGGGGCUGCCCCUUCUCAAAUCCAGACCAGAGAGUCAGACAGCCUGGCUAGAUCAGACCUGGACCUGUCACUAGCAGGGUCAUGGACAAGUUAACUCAGAUUCUCUAGGCAAAGUUACACCUUUCUCACAAGACUCACAGUAAAGGAGCACAGGCAUGUGCAAGACUCACCAAGACACCUGGCAAAUACUUGGCGUUACCCAUUUGUUGAGAUAAGUAGCUGAGUUUCCAGAUUCAUGUACCUACAGUGCUCAAGGUGAGUUCCCUUCGCUAGCACUGUCGGUGCCAUCUCACGCUAAAAAACCUCAAAUCCCAGAGGGAUCCGCAAGCACCCCGAAAGGUGACGUCCAGACCGCCCCUGUCUUCAGGUGUCCAGCAUCUCGCAGAGGCGCGGGACAGAAAGACUACAGCUCCCAGCAGCCACUGCGUGCUUCACUGCGCAGGCGUAGCCGCGCCUCGCCACCCCUCCCCCUCCGCCAACUGCUCCCGUCGGUCCGUUCGUAUUCCCCCCAUCAGUUCUAAUGUCCCCCUCUGCCUCUCCGGUACUUCACACUCACCGCGAACUCGGGGCGUCGGGUACAGCCGCUGUGCCUUCUCCAGGAAGCGGAGUGCCCGGUCGGGCUGGUUGCUCUGGAUGGCCUUGAGGGCGAUGCUGAUACAGCGCUCGGCUUCAUCCUUGUUGGAUUCCAUGGCGGAACCAGAGCGCGGAACCAGGGAGGGGGAGGCCCGGCAAGCGAAGGGCUGCGCCAGCCGCCGGCGCGUCGCGGGUCAGGCCGGCGCAGAAUGAUGACAUAAACCCUCCGCCCCUCCUUUCCGAAGAUUUGAGUGAGAGUCGAGCGAGGGCGAAGGGCUACCGUAUGUCAUCUAAGAGAGGGACGUUUGUUUUAGGUGUUAACAGCGCAAUCUAGAGCCCUAGAGCCCAGGGUGUUCCAGAGGUCUUUAGCCUUGAGUGUGCUUGCACGUUGUUGGUGGAAAAACUAUGCGUUUGAGACGAAUAAAUAUUUACUGAGUAUCCACA